Molecule: ribosomal RNA, 428 nt
Filed under: Escherichia coli
Lineage: Bacteria; Pseudomonadati; Pseudomonadota; Gammaproteobacteria; Enterobacterales; Enterobacteriaceae
Description: partial 23S ribosomal RNA
Rfam family: Bacterial large subunit ribosomal RNA
Source: RNAcentral
AGUGCAAUGGCAUAAGCCAGCUUGACUGCGAGCGUGACGGCGCGAGCAGGUGCGAAAGCAGGUCAUAGUGAUCCGGUGGUUCUGAAUGGAAGGGCCAUCGCUCAACGGAUAAAAGGUACUCCGGGGAUAACAGGCUGAUACCGCCCAAGAGUUCAUAUCGACGGCGGUGUUUGGCACCUCGAUGUCGGCUCAUCACAUCCUGGGGCUGAAGUAGGUCCCAAGGGUAUGGCUGUUCGCCAUUUAAAGUGGUACGCGAGCUGGGUUUAGAACGUCGUGAGACAGUUCGGUCCCUAUCUGCCGUGGGCGCUGGAGAACUGAGGGGGGCUGCUCCUAGUACGAGAGGACCGGAGUGGACGCAUCACUGGUGUUCGGGUUGUCAUGCCAAUGGCACUGCCCGGUAGCUAAAUGCGGAAGAGAUAAGUGCUGAA